This 247-nucleotide ribosomal RNA is filed under the name uncultured bacterium. RNAcentral's name for it is "partial 16S ribosomal RNA". It matches the Rfam family "Bacterial small subunit ribosomal RNA", at positions 523 to 769 of the family's 1533-position model. The record is from RNAcentral.
AUACGUAGGGUGCAAGCGUUGUCCGGAAUUAUUGGGCGUAAAGAGCUCGUAGGCGGCUUGUCGCGUCUGCUGUGAAAACCCGAGGCUCAACCUCGGGCUUGCAGUGGGUACGGGCAGGCUAGAGUGUGGUAGGGGAGAUUGGAAUUCCUGGUGUAGCGGUGGAAUGCGCAGAUAUCAGGAGGAACACCGAUGGCGAAGGCAGAUCUCUGGGCCACUACUGACGCUGAGGAGCGAAAGCAUGGGGAGC